GAUUAAAUGGCUGAAGAUAGGCGAUAAAUUGUAAAUUUAUUUAUGAAUAUUUUAUUCUUUAAUCA
Molecule: transfer RNA, 65 nt
Filed under: Psychoda alternata
Lineage: Eukaryota; Metazoa; Arthropoda; Insecta; Diptera; Psychodidae
Description: tRNA-Tyr
Source: RNAcentral